Molecule: ribosomal RNA, 805 nt
Filed under: Selaginella shensiensis
Lineage: Eukaryota; Viridiplantae; Streptophyta; Lycopodiopsida; Selaginellales; Selaginellaceae
Description: partial 26S ribosomal RNA
Rfam family: Eukaryotic large subunit ribosomal RNA
Source: RNAcentral
CCGCGAGGGAAAGAUGAAAAGGACUUUGAAAAGAGAGUCAAAAAGUGCUUGAAAUUGCUGGGAGGGAAGCGAAUGGAUGCCUUUGUUGCCUGCUGGUUGUGUGCGGAACGGUGUAAAAGCUGGUCUGUCAACCAACUCAGUGGGCUCGUUAGUGUGGGGGUGGAUGCCGGGAUAAAGAUCCCGGGCUUUGCUCGGGAUUGAUGCUGGUGUCCACUCCGUGGCCUGGGGUGUGCGCCUUUCUGGCGGGCUCGUGCACCUGCACACCCGGGACGCUGGCGGCUUAAGGUUUUUCAUUCGACCCGUCUUGAAACACGGACCAAGGAGUCUAACAUGUAUGCGAGCCUGCGGGUGUUUACACCUUGCUAGGCGUAGGGAAACUGAUGUGUGGGAUCCCCUUGUGGGUGCACCACCGACCGACCGUGAGCUUUUGUGAAAGGUUCGAGUUAAAGCAUACCUGCUGGGACCCGAAAGAUGGUGAACUAUGCCUGAGCAGGGCGAAGCCAGAGGAAACUCUGGUGGAGGCUCGUAGCGAUACUGACGUGCAAAUCGUUCGUCAGACUUGGGUAUAGGGGCGAAAGACUAAUCGAACCAUCUAGUAGCUGGUUCCCUCCGAAGUAUCCCUCAGGAUAGCUGGAGCUCAUAUUGAGAGUUUUAUCAGGUAAAGCGAAUGAUUAGAGGCAUCGGGGGUGAAACACCCUCGACCUAUUCUCAAACUUUAAAUAGGUAAGGUGUCGGGGUUGCUCCGGUGAACCCCGACCUUUGAAUCUGAGCUCCAAGUGGGCCAUUUUUGGUAAGCAGAACUGGA